UAGGACACCUACACAUCUAAAUGUUCCUCUAUUGACAAAGUCUUAUUACAUUAAUUACUACAAUCUUUAAGUAAAUAGAAAAAUUUGUUAAACAUCACUGAUAUAUUCAUGAAGUGGUAAGCUCCCAGGAAUGAGAACCCAGGUUCAAAAUUUCCCCAAGAUGCGUGAUGAAGGCCAGAGGGUAUAUCAGCCAAAAUGUUCUCAUUCCUAAGGUCACUGUGAAGGUGCAUGGCUCAGUGGCUAGAGCAUUGAGCUUACGAUCAUGAGGUUGUAAGUUUGAUUCCCUGACUGGGCUGCGAGUUGUGUUCUUGAGCAAGACACUUUAUUUCAUAUUGCUUCAGUUCACUCAGCUGUAGAAAUGAGUUGUGAUAUCACUGGUGCCAAGCUGUAUCGACCUUUGCCUUUCCCUUGGAUAACAUUGGUAGUGUAGAGAGAGGAGGCUGGUAUGCAUGGGCAACUGCAAGUCUUCCAUAAACAACCUUGCCCAGACUUGUGCCUCGGAGGGUAACUUUGUAGGUGCAAUCCAAUGGUCAUUUAUGAUUGAAGGGGGUCCCCGAUUCAGGUCACUGCCUGGAAUUGAACUUGGAAUGUUGGGGUUAGUAGCCUGCGCUCUUAACCACUAUGCUAUAUGCCCAUGGACGUAGUGGUUAAGAGCACAGGCUACUAACCCCAAGAUUCCGAGUUCAAUUUCAGGUAGUGACCUGAAUAAUAGUAAUAAUAAUAAUAAUAAUAAUAAUAAUAAUAAUAAUAACUUAGGAAUGAGAACCCAAGUUCGAAAUUUCCCCAAGACACCUGAUGAAAGCUGGAGGGUAUAUCAGCCGAAACGUUGUGUUAAGAACAAACAAGAUGAGGACAAAUAUCUGUCAAAUGUAAAUAAUGUACAUAAUUCCUCAUCUCUUCAAUAUAGAACUCCAUAAUUAACAAGUUCUUUAUGCAGAAGGCAUCCUGGGGAAAAUUCAUUUGUUAGUCUUUUGUUUGUACUAGCCAUUCUAGAUGUGGUUACUUUUAUGUACUUCACAAUAUUACUUUAAAAUCUUUAGUAAAAGUAGGCAGAUAAGCCAUAUAAACAUCACACGUAUUCAAAAUUAUUUAAUUAUACUUAUAGAACUGACACCCAACAUAGACAAAAUUUAAUUGACAUUGACAAUUCACCACCAAAAACAAUAUCUAGAAGAUAGAAUAAUGGUUGCAAGCAGGAGGAUUUUAUUUGGGAAGGGAACUAAUGCUUAUUAGCAGUAAGAAAGGCAUGGCUGUUAUUUCUUAAUUCCUAUGUAUUCCAACAUGCUUCAUGUCAAAAAACAAACAUUCCAAUUUGUGGUAAUUUGUUUAUGCAUUAUAAAAGUGUCAAACACAACUUAUCUUGAAUUACUGUUUUGAUCUUAAGACAUAACUAUUCUUUCUGGAGAACUUCACAAAUGGGUGGUUUCAAAUUAGAAUGCAGAUGAAGCACUCCUCACCCCUCAUGUAUCAACUCUUUAGAAUUAUGAAAAUUUAAUAUUUCCCUUAAAAUACUGUCGAAUGGUAUUUUUAAUCCUUUUCAGUAAUAGACCCCUUAAAUGUAUCUGUAGUAUUCUGUAUUAAGUUGAAUUAUUUAGUUUAUUUUAUAUCGCAAUUUGAUAACAAUAUUGUUAUUUGUUUUGUUCUAACAAAGGACUUCACUCCAAGAGCACCAGUUUUUUUACUGUUUGCUGAACUUAUAAGAUAAUGCAUAUAUGCUCCUUUAGUACCCAUAAUUGUUAUGUUUUGAAAUAUGUACUCUAUUCUUCAUAAAUAUAUUUAGUUGUUAUAUUUAUUGCUUAUAGUUUAGAUUUUGAGUGAAAUAAAAUCUUGUUUUAUUAGUAUUCUUUAUCCCAGUUUACAUCUAUUACAAACCAUGUUACUCCCUAUUUAUACUAAAAUCAUAAAAGAUUUAUGUUUUAAAUCUAUUUGUAGUUAUUUUUAAAUAAAAUGUUAACUAAAA
Long non-coding RNA from Octopus bimaculoides (California two-spot octopus), 1960 nucleotides. NCBI's taxonomy places the organism in Eukaryota, Metazoa, Mollusca, Cephalopoda, Octopoda, Octopodidae. The record is from RefSeq and is a predicted model, not a curated record.